AUCAUCUGGAGGUCUUGUUAAAAUGCAGAUUCUCAUUAAGUAGGUCUGGAGUAGGGCCUGAGAUUCUGCAUUUCUAACAAGCUCCCAGGUGAUGCCCA
Molecule: microRNA precursor, 98 nt
Filed under: Equus caballus (horse)
Lineage: Eukaryota; Metazoa; Chordata; Mammalia; Perissodactyla; Equidae
Description: mir-544 microRNA precursor family
Rfam family: mir-544 microRNA precursor family
Source: Rfam by way of RNAcentral